GCGAGCGUUAAUCGGAAUUACUGGGCGUAAAGCGCACGCAGGCGGUCUGUUAAGCUAGAUGUGAAAGCCCCGCGCUCAACGUGGGAGGGUCAUUUAGAACUGGCAGACUAGAGUCUUGGAGAGGGGAGUGGAAUUCCAGGUGUAGCGGUGAAAUGCGUAGAGAUCUGGAGGAACAUCAAUGGCGAAGGCAACUCCCUGGCCAAAGACUGACGCUCAUGGACGAAAGCCAGGGGAGCGAAAGGGAUUAGAUACCCCUGUAGUCCUGGCCGUAAACGAUGAACACUAGGUGUCGGGGGAAUCGACCCCCUCGGUGUCGUAGCCAACGCGUUAAGUGUUCCGCCUGGGGAGUACGCACGCAAGUGUGAAACUCAAAGGAAUUGACGGGGGCCCGCACAAGCGGUGGAGUAUGUGGUUUAAUUCGAUGCAACGCGAAGAACCUUACCAGGGCUUGACAUCCUGCGAACCUCUGGGAAACCGGAGGGUGCCUUCGGGAACGCAGUGACAGGUGGUGCAUGGCU
RNAcentral lists this ribosomal RNA (518 nucleotides) under uncultured bacterium. RNAcentral describes it as "bacterial SSU rRNA". It matches the Rfam family "Bacterial small subunit ribosomal RNA", at positions 534 to 1050 of the family's 1533-position model. The record is from RNAcentral.